Acanthosepion pharaonis is the source of this 103-nucleotide non-coding RNA. NCBI's taxonomy places the organism in Eukaryota, Metazoa, Mollusca, Cephalopoda, Sepiida, Sepiidae. The record is from the annotation of a GenBank genome assembly.
UACGGCCAUAUUACAUUGAAAUACCGAUUCUCGUGCGAUCACCGAAGUUAAGCAUUGUCGAGCCUGUUCUAUACCUAGAUGAGUGACCGCUUGGGAAUACCAG